Molecule: ribosomal RNA, 483 nt
Filed under: uncultured bacterium
Lineage: Bacteria
Description: bacterial SSU rRNA
Rfam family: Bacterial small subunit ribosomal RNA
Source: RNAcentral
AAAGCUGCGCGUGCUUACCAUGCAAGUCGAACGAUGAAGCCGGGGCUUUUUGUUUUGGUGGAUUAGUGGCGAACGGGUGAGUAAUACGUGAGUAACCUGCCCUUGUCUUUGGGAUAAGCCUGGGAAACUGGGUCUAAUACCGGAUAUUCUGCUUUUGCCGCAUGGUGGGGGUUGGAAAGAUUUUUUGGAUGGGGAUGGGCUCACGGCCUAUCAGCUUGUUGGUGGGGUGAUGGCCUACCAAGGCGUCGACGGGUAGCCGGCCUGAGAGGGUGACCGGCCACAUUGGGACUGAGAUACGGCCCAGACUCCUACGGGAGGCAGCAGUGGGGAAUAUUGCACAAUGGACGCAAGUCUGAUGCAGCGACGCCGCGUGGGGGAUGAAGGCUUUCGGGUUGUAAACUCCUUUCAGUACAGAAGAAGCAUUUUUGUGACGGUAUGUGCAGAAGAAGCGCCGGCUAACUACGUGCCAGCAGCCGCGGUAAU